This 253-nucleotide ribosomal RNA is filed under the name uncultured bacterium. RNAcentral describes it as "partial 16S ribosomal RNA". It matches the Rfam family "Bacterial small subunit ribosomal RNA", at positions 524 to 776 of the family's 1533-position model. The record is from RNAcentral.
UACGUAGGGGGCUAGCGUUGUCCGGAUUUAUUGGGCGUAAAGAGCGUGUAGGCGGCCAAGUAGGUCCGGUGUGAAAACUCGAGGCUCAACCUCGAGACGUCGGCGGAAACCAUCUGGCUAGAGUCCGGAAGAGGAGAGUGGAAUUCCUGGUGUAGCGGUGAAAUGCGCAGAUAUCAGGAAGAACACCCGUGGCGAAGGCGGCUCUCUGGGACGGUACUGACGCUGAGACGCGAAAGCGUGGGGAGCGAACAGG